UGCUUCUUCGUUAAAAAUUCAUAAAAUACCUGAUUUAAGUUAGCACACACGGACUAUAAAGAAAUAUAAGUGCUGUUGAGUGAAGUCAACAAUGUAUUUAAAUUUUAAAACACAAAAUUGUGUUUCCUAAUAGUUUUAAAACAUAUUUCGAUGAAGUCUUCAGGCAAUGUAAUUACUUACCGAUUUGUCAAUUGAAACAUUUCCAACUGACUUCAAUCUCUUUUUCCCUUCCUUUUGCUUAUUAAGUAGCUUUUGCUUCCUUGUUACAUCUCCCCCGUAGCAUUUUGCUGUGACAUUUUUUCGAAGAGCCGAGAUAGACUCCCUGGCGACUACUCGGUUGUCGAUGACAGCUUGAAGUAUUACUUCAUAUAGUUGUUUAGGAACUAACGGCUUCAACCGUUGAAUCCAUUCACGGCCUCGCUGAAGUGCAAGCGAGCGAUGCACUAUAGAACAAAGAGCAUCUACAGAUUUUCCACUCAUAAAAAUUGAUAGUCGCACCAAAUCAGCAGGAACGUAAUCCGAUUCUUCAUAAUCUAAGGUAGCGAAACCACUUGUUGUCCCUUUUAAUCGACCAAAGAAAUCUUCAACCAGGUGAGCAAGAGGUAAUUGAUAUUUUAUCAUGCAUCGCGAUUCGGACAUAUAAGUGCAGUCCUUUUGGAGUCCUCGACAAGAUUCACACAACUUGAUAACAUCUCCUAGGUACUCGCUCGGUGUUAUAAUUGUUGCAUCGACGGUGGGCUCUAAAAGCUCAGAUAUACCUUGAUGAUUUGUUGGAAAUAGAUUAGGAUUCGAUAUUACUUCUUCCCUUCCAUUUUUAUAUUUUAUGCGAUACGGUACUGUGGGAGAAGUGAUUAAUAAUUCCUUUCCAUAUUCAUCCUUUAAUCUGUCAAUAAAGACAGAAAGAUGCAACGUUCCAAGAAAACCUAAACGCCAUCCCAUCCCAAGAGCAGACGAGUUUUCUUUUUGUACAUUAAUAGCACGAUCAUUAAGGGCCAAUUGUUCGAUGUUAUCAUUUAGUCUCUCGUAAUCCGAGCCAUCCAAAGGAAAGGCGCCAACAUAAACCAUUGAUUGGGGAAUAGAGAAACCAGGUAAUGCUUCAACAUUAGAUCCGAUGGUUGAAUAUGUAUCCCCGACAAUUGCUUCAUCAAUAUUUUUCAUAUUCCAGAUAAUAUAACCAACUUGUCCUGCUCGAAGACGCGAAACUUCGGUCAUGUCAGGAUACAUAAUUCCAACUUGUUGUACUUCAUACUUUCUACCUGUGUUUACACUCAUCACCUUUCCUCCUUUUUUUAUAAAGCCCUCCAUAAUUCGCACCAAUCCUAUAACUCCCUGGUAGCUAUUGUACCAACUGUCUAUCAACAGGCAGCGUAACGGAGCAUUUUCUGACCCCUUGGGAGGAGGAAUUUUUUGUAUGAUUUCCGGUAGAAUUUGUUCGACAUUUUUUCCCGUUUUAGAAGAGACUAGGAUGGGCUUGGACAUAGGGAUAUCAAAAGUUUGCUGAACUUGAAUCAAAGUUCUAUCCACAUCCGCAGUUGGCAAAUCAACCUUGUUCAGAACUGGAAUUAUGACCAAGUUUUGGGAAAAUGCCAUAUAAAAAUUUGACAACUAAAUAAUACGUUAGCUUAGAGUUAAUAUAUUGAUACCUAGGUUAUUUGAUGUUGCUUUGCUCAUCAUCGAACCUCAUAUUUCAUACAGUUUGUGCUUGUAUGCCUUGAGAGGCAUCAACUAAUAAGAUACAUCCUUCACAAGCGGCCAAACUAUGCAUGACUUCGGCACGAAAGUCAACAUGCCCGGGCGUAUCGAUUAAAUUUAGUAAAUAUGAUUGUCCAUGAUAAUAGUAAAUCAUGCUGCAGGUCUGCGCCUUAACUGUUAUUCCUCUUCGCCUUUCUACUUCCAACUUAUCCAAAAAUUGAUUUCUAAAGUUAUGUUCAUUAAUGACACCGGUGAGUUUUAGUAUGCAGUCACUCAGCGUUGAUUUCCCAUGGUCGAUAUGAGCAAUCACAGCCCAGUUUCGAACUCUAUUUUGUGGAAUUCCUCUAACAACUUCUUGAAUGGAAGGCUUGUUAUCCUCGGAUGCUAGCUUUCUUGAGGCAUAAGAAACAGAGAAGAAGCGCCAUCUUAUUUUGAACGAUGAACUCUUUAAACAAGUCUCUAAACUAAAUGUUCUAGAGAGCCUAAAAAUACUCAUGAACACCAAAAAAAUCUUUGUUCAAGGUUAUUCAAUAAAGUAUACGUUAAAUUCAUUAACUAAUUACAAUAGCAUAAAUUCAGGCACCUAGAUGAGCUAACCCUUUUUUAAAUGUUUAUACGGAAUAAAAAAAUAAAUAAACCUCAGUAGGUAGAUGGUCCAAGUUGCAAAUACGAGGGCUGCUCAAUUGCUAACUUUUUUUAUACUGAGUGAACUCAAGAUAAAGAAAAAAAAUGGAAGACGAGAAUCGCAAAAAUACUAGAUAUAGCUCAAAAGAGGGGCAAAUUAAAAAAAUUCAGAAAAAAUUUUAUGUCUUAAAACUAUUCUAUUCAAUAAAUGCAGAAUGAUUCUUAAUUGUUUCUAUAAUAUUUACC
RNAcentral lists this long non-coding RNA (2562 nucleotides) under Schizosaccharomyces pombe (fission yeast). The record is from RNAcentral. Lineage: Eukaryota; Fungi; Ascomycota; Schizosaccharomycetes; Schizosaccharomycetales; Schizosaccharomycetaceae.